GUGGGGAAUAUUGGACAAUGGGGGAAACCCUGAUCCAGCGAUGCCGCGUGAAUGAUGAAGGCCUUAGGGUUGUAAAGUUCUUUCACCUGUGACGAUGAUGACGGUAACAGGAGAAGAAGCCCCGGCUAACUCCGUGCCAGCAGCCGCGGUAAGACGGAGGGGGCUAGCGUUGUUCGGAAUGACUGGGCGUAAAGGGCGCGUAGGCGGCUUAUCAAGUCAGGUGUGAAAGCCUUGGGCUUAACCCAAGAAUUGCGCUUGAUACUGAUAAGCUAGAGGAUGAUAGAGGAAAGCGGAAUUCCUAGUGUAGAGGUGAAAUUCGUAGAUAUUAGGAAGAACACCAGAGGCGAAGGCGGCUUUCUGGAUCAUAUCUGACGCUGAGGCGCGAAAGCGUGGGGAGCAAACAGGAUUAGAAACCCUAGUAGUCC
This 425-nucleotide ribosomal RNA is filed under the name uncultured bacterium. RNAcentral describes it as "bacterial SSU rRNA". It matches the Rfam family "Bacterial small subunit ribosomal RNA", at positions 354 to 796 of the family's 1533-position model. The record is from RNAcentral.